This 468-nucleotide ribosomal RNA is filed under the name uncultured bacterium. RNAcentral's name for it is "partial 16S ribosomal RNA". It matches the Rfam family "Bacterial small subunit ribosomal RNA", at positions 28 to 507 of the family's 1533-position model. The record is from RNAcentral.
GACGAACGCUGGCGGCGUGCUUAACACAUGCAAGUCGAACGGAAAGGCCCUGCUUUUGUGGGGUGCUCGAGUGGCGAACGGGUGAGUAACACGUGAGUAACCUGCCCUUGACUUUGGGAUAACUUCAGGAAAAUGGGGCUAAUACAGGAUAGGAGCUCCUGCUGCAUGGUGGGGGUUGGAAAGUUUCGGCGGUUGGGGAUGGACUCGCGGCUUAUCAGCUUGUUGGUGGGGUAGUGGCUUACCAAGGCUUUGACGGGUAGCCGGCCUGAGAGGGUGACCGGCCACAUUGGGACUGAGAUACGGCCCAGACUCCUACGGGAGGCAGCAGUGGGGAAUAUUGCACAAUGGGCGGAAGCCUGAUGCAGCAACGCCGCGUGCGGGAUGACGGCCUUCGGGUUGUAAACCGCUUUCGCCUGUGACGAAGCGUGAGUGACGGUAAUGGGUAAAGAAGCACCGGCUAACUACGUG